RNAcentral lists this transfer RNA (87 nucleotides) under Candidatus Woesebacteria bacterium. RNAcentral's name for it is "tRNA-Ser". It matches the Rfam family "tRNA". Rfam says of the family: Transfer RNA (tRNA) molecules are approximately 80 nucleotides in length. Their secondary structure includes four short double-helical elements and three loops (D, anti-codon, and T loops). Further hydrogen bonds mediate the characteristic L-shaped molecular structure. tRNAs have two regions of fundamental functional importance: the anti-codon, which is responsible for specific mRNA codon recognition, and the 3' end, to which the tRNAs corresponding amino acid is attached (by aminoacyl-tRNA synthetases). tRNAs cope with the degeneracy of the genetic code in two manners: having more than one tRNA (with a specific anti-codon) for a particular amino acid; and 'wobble' base-pairing, i.e. permitting non-standard base-pairing at the 3rd anti-codon position. Lineage: Bacteria; Candidatus Woeseibacteriota. RNAcentral also lists the same sequence under 3 other names. The record is from RNAcentral.
GGAGGAGUCGCCUAGUGGUUUAUGGCGCACGCCUGGAAAGCGUGUGUUCGAAAGGACUCGUGGGUUCGAAUCCCACCUCCUCCGCCA